AGUGAACGCUGGCGGUAGGCCUAACACAUGCAAGUCGAACGGCAGCACAGUAAGAGCUUGCUCUUACGGGUGGCGAGUGGCGGACGGGUGAGGAAUACAUCGGAAUCUACUUUUUCGUGGGGGAUAACGUAGGGAAACUUACGCUAAUACCGCAUACGACCUACGGGUGAAAGCAGGGGAUCUUCGGACCUUGCGCGAUUGAAUGAGCCGAUGUCGGAUUAGCUAGUUGGCGGGGUAAAGGCCCACCAAGGCGACGAUCCGUGGCUGGUCUGAGAGGAUGAUCAGCCACACUGGAACUGAGACACGGUCCAGACUCCUACGAGAGGCAGCAGUGGGGAAUAUUGGACAAUGGGCGCAAGCCUGAUCCAGCGAUACCGCGUGGGUGAAGAAGGCCUUCGGGUUGUAAAGCCCUUUUGUUGGGAAAGAAAAGCAGCAGGUUAAUACCCCGCUGUUCUGACGGUACCCAAAGAAUAAGCACCGGCUAACUUCGUG
This 492-nucleotide ribosomal RNA is filed under the name uncultured bacterium. RNAcentral's name for it is "partial 16S ribosomal RNA". It matches the Rfam family "Bacterial small subunit ribosomal RNA", at positions 29 to 507 of the family's 1533-position model. The record is from RNAcentral.